Molecule: long non-coding RNA, 750 nt
Filed under: Cavia porcellus (domestic guinea pig)
Lineage: Eukaryota; Metazoa; Chordata; Mammalia; Rodentia; Caviidae
Description: lncRNA (ENSCPOG00000035171.1)
Source: RNAcentral
CUCAGGAGUAUAAUUCCCCACAUUUUUGCUCAUAAUAAAACCUUAAAUUGUCCUUUACUUUUUUUUUAAACAGUGAAUUUAGUAGAAAUCCACAUAUUGUGAGUUUUGUUGGAAAUCAGGUAACUAUAAGAAGAGCGGAUGGCUCCCUGGUACAUAUCAGCAUAUCACCAUAUCCUGCUAUUCUCCAUGACUAUGUAGGCAGUUCAAAAUGGGAAGAUGCUGUAAGGCUUUGUCGCUUUGUUAAGGAGCAAACUAUGUGGGCUUGCCUAGCUGCGAUGGCAGUUGCUAAUCGAGAUAUGACUACUGCAGAAAUAGCUUAUGCAGCCAUUGGUGAAAUGGAUAAAGUUCAGUACAUCAAUUCUAUGAAAGAUCUUCCAUCCAAAGAAUCAAAAAUGGCCCACAUACUACUGUUUAGUGGGAAUAUACAGGAGGCUGAAAUAGUACUUCUUCAGGCUGGCCUUGUUUAUCAAGCAAUCCAGAUCAAUAUUAAUCUGUAUAACUGGGAAAGGUUUUGUCUCCCAGUGAACAUGUGGUGCUUAUUGACGUACUUUCCCAGGUGCAAAUUAUCCUUCUUGAUCUGUUUCACUCUAUACUCAAAAAUACUGUUGUUUCAUUCAUUUAUAAGACUAUAUUAUAUAACUUUCUUAGAUUAGAAUUUAGGUACAUGUUCCUCCACAUCCAGAGGCUAAGAAUGGCUCCAUACGCAGCAUGUCUCAGUAAUGUAACUUGGACAUUAUCACAGAACUGUAA